This 497-nucleotide ribosomal RNA is filed under the name uncultured bacterium. RNAcentral's name for it is "partial 16S ribosomal RNA". It matches the Rfam family "Bacterial small subunit ribosomal RNA", at positions 28 to 507 of the family's 1533-position model. The record is from RNAcentral.
GACGAACGCUGGCGGCGUGCCUAAUACAUGCAAGUUGAGCGAUGAAGAUUGGUGCUUGCACCAAUUUGAAGAGCAGCGAACGGGUGAGUAACGCGUGGGGAAUCUGCCUUUGAGCGGGGGACAACAUUUGGAAACGAAUGCUAAUACCGCAUAAUAACUUUAAACAUAAGUUUUAAGUUUGAAAGAUGCAAUUGCAUCACUCAAAGAUGAUCCCGCGUUGUAUUAGCUAGUUGGUGAGGUAAAGGCUCACCAAGGCGAUGAUACAUAGCCGACCUGAGAGGGUGAUCGGCCACAUUGGGACUGAGACACGGCCCCAACUCCUACGGGAGGCAGCAGUAGGGAAUCUUCGGCAAUGGACGAAAGUCUGGCCGAGCAACGCCGCGUGAGUGAAGAAGGUUUUCGGAUCGUAAAACUCUGUUGGUAGAGAAGAACGUUGGUGAGAGUGGAAAGCUCAUCAAGUGACGGUAACUACCCAGAAAGGGACGGCUAACUACGUG